This 542-nucleotide ribosomal RNA is filed under the name uncultured bacterium. Its description in RNAcentral is "bacterial SSU rRNA". It matches the Rfam family "Bacterial small subunit ribosomal RNA", at positions 28 to 526 of the family's 1533-position model. The record is from RNAcentral.
GAUGAACGCUGGCGGCGUGCCUAAUACAUGCAAGUCGAGCGGUAAGGCUUUCACAGUUUAUUUUUCCCCGAUUUCUUAAGAGAAAAUAUAAUGUCUCAAAAAGGAAUUGGACAAAACGGAAGAAUAAAAUGUGAAAGUACACGAGCGGCGGACGGCUGAGUAACGCGUAGGAAUGUACCCCAAAGUGAGGAAUAACUGCCCGAAAGGGUAGCUAAUACCGCAUGUGAUCUACGGAUUAAAGGAUUUAUCCGCUUUGGGAGCAGCCUGCGUAUGAUUAGUUUGUUGGUGAGGUAACGGCUCACCAAGACGACGAUCAUUAGCUGGUCUGAGAGGAUGAUCAGCCAGACUGGGACUGAGACACGGCCCAGACUUCUACGGAAGGCAGCAGUAGGGAAUUUUCCACAAUGGGGGCAACCCUGAUGGAGCAACGCCGCGUGCAGGAUGACGGCCUUCGGGUUGUAAACUGCUUUUAUGGGUGAUGAAUUUGACAGUAACCCAAGAAUAAGGGACGGCUAACUACGUGCCAGCAGCCGCAGUAACAC